CCCUAAACAUCAUGGAAAAGUUGGUCCUGUGGUGUGAAAACCCACAUGAAACCAGAUGAACGUUAGGUAAAUAUUCUUUCUUAGAGGUUCAGCUGUAUAAACUAAAACUAGGAAUGAUGAAGAAGAAGAAAGGAAGAAGGAAUCCAUGUUCCUUAGUGGACACAGAAGUGAAGAGCAGCCAGCUAAAUUAACCUGGAUUGAUGAAUGAUAAUUAAAGAAUUAUCAAUUGAAGAUACAUUUUUAUGCCAUUUUUCAAGAUUAUACUGGAUGACUAUUGUGAAACACCAAAGAAAACACUCCAGGAAUUCUGAAACAAACAAACAAAAUGCGCAGGUAACAAAGUGAAUUUCUAAAAAGAAUUCGUGUUAAUUCAGGUUGGAUACAAUUGUUGAAACUUGAUUAUUAGAGACAAUUCAAAAUCUUCAUAACACCACCAAAAAGCAAUAGAUGACACCAUUUAAAUUUCACGGUAAGCUAUCCAAACACAAAUAGAUGUGUUCUAUACAGAAAUGAAGAACAGAGGGACUGGGUGUGCUUUAUGAUAGCUUUGUGACAAAUGACACAUACAUAGAGUGCAGUGUAACUGACUCUAAAGCAAAUUCAGCUGCUUUUUUCUGGUCUCUUCUUUUUUCUGUAUAAUGUGUACAGCAGUACAAAUGUUUAGACGGCGUCUAGUGACUACAAACAAAGAGUAUUCAAUAUAGUGUGUAUGUUUACCAAAGAAAUUGUGUUUUAGAUGGGAAAAUCUGAUGUUCUUUUUAACGACUAUAGAAUGUGGAGUAGUUAGGAUAGGGAAAAGGGUAUUUGUUUUAUUCAUGGGCCAUUGCAAAAUGAUCCUCCUGUGUCGUAGGGGAUGGUGAGCUCAUGGAGUCUGAAUCACUGACUUACAAGACAGAUCUAUUUCCAGGAAAGGAAAAAGAUUUUGUUGAUAAUGUAAUGAGAAUGCAAAUAAUUUCUUUGAUGAUGCUAGAAUUUUGGUAGUAUUAGUCUGCUGCUAGCAUGCUAUGAAUUCUGUGUAAUUAAAUGGAAUUGGAUUGUGGACCUGGCUUUAUGAAGACGGCACUGGUUUCUGAGUAAUACCCUAUUCAAACACCUCACUCUGAUGUAUUGCAUUAAUAGAUCAUCAGAAGCAGUUGUCAGUCCAAUGAUGUAUUAGUGUAAUACAUGAGAACGAGACUCACUGAUGAUGUAUUUAGUACUCACAAGAUGGCAGUGUCCAAAGAAGAAAUGGGCCC
RNAcentral lists this long non-coding RNA (1235 nucleotides) under Felis catus (domestic cat). RNAcentral's name for it is "lncRNA (ENSFCAG00000047713.1)". Lineage: Eukaryota; Metazoa; Chordata; Mammalia; Carnivora; Felidae. The record is from RNAcentral.